GCAACUUUGGCCGAGUUGGUUAUGGCGCCAGACUCAAGAAAUUUACUUCUUUCACUGUCUCAGUGAGCUUUCUGGUCUCGAAAGAGGCGUGGGUUCGAAUCCCACAGGUUGCA
Molecule: transfer RNA, 113 nt
Filed under: Penicillium crustosum
Lineage: Eukaryota; Fungi; Ascomycota; Eurotiomycetes; Eurotiales; Aspergillaceae
Rfam family: tRNA
About the family: Transfer RNA (tRNA) molecules are approximately 80 nucleotides in length. Their secondary structure includes four short double-helical elements and three loops (D, anti-codon, and T loops).
Source: Rfam by way of RNAcentral